RNAcentral lists this transfer RNA (91 nucleotides) under Felis catus (domestic cat). It matches the Rfam family "tRNA". Rfam says of the family: Transfer RNA (tRNA) molecules are approximately 80 nucleotides in length. Lineage: Eukaryota; Metazoa; Chordata; Mammalia; Carnivora; Felidae. The record is from Rfam by way of RNAcentral.
GCCUGGGUGGCUCAGUUGGUUGAGCAUCUGACUCUUAUUUUGGCUCAGGUCAUGAUCUCAUGACUUGUGAGUUUGAGCCCCACAUCAGGCU